Molecule: ribosomal RNA, 475 nt
Filed under: uncultured bacterium
Lineage: Bacteria
Description: bacterial SSU rRNA
Rfam family: Bacterial small subunit ribosomal RNA
Source: RNAcentral
GGACGCAAGUCUGAACCAGCCAUGCCGCGUGAAGGAUGACUGCCCUCUGGGUUGUAAACUUCUUUUAUCUGGGACGAAAAACGGGCUUUCUAGCUCACUUGACGGUACCAGAGGAAUAAGCACCGGCUAACUCCGUGCCAGCAGCCGCGGUAAUACGGAGGGUGCAAGCGUUAUCCGGAUUUACUGGGUUUAAAGGGUGCGUAGGUGGAUAGGUAAGUCAGUGGUGAAAUCUUCAAGCUUAACUUGGAAACUGCCAUUGAUACUAUUUAUCUUGAAUACUUUGGAGGUAAGCGGAAUAUGUCAUGUAGCGGUGAAAUGCUUAGAUAUGACAUAGAACACCAAUUGCGAAGGCAGCUUACUACACAGUUAUUGACACUGAGGCACGAAAGCGUGGGGAUCAAACAGGAUUAGAUACCCUGGUAGUCCACGCCCUAAACGAUGGAUACUCGACAUUAGCGAUAUACAGUUAGUGUCU